Molecule: long non-coding RNA, 1195 nt
Organism: Pimephales promelas (fathead minnow)
Lineage: Eukaryota; Metazoa; Chordata; Actinopteri; Cypriniformes; Leuciscidae
Source: RefSeq, a predicted model, not a curated record
AAUUUUGAUUGGUUGAUUGGAAAGUUCAAAAAGAUGUAGAUCCAGGAACACGUGGUACUUGGUGAAAUCACGUUUCCCCCCAGUGGGCAACAAGAGUAGUGACUUUUUUAGUGAAUCAUUAAUUCAUGAACGAAUCAGUGACUCAAUAGAUUCGUUCAACCACACUGAUUCAGUCGGGAACCUCCACUACUGUGUGUUGAUGGGAGACGCAGAUUGGAAUUUUUUGGGGAAAAUAUUUUCAUUGCCGAUGCAAAAAUACAUUAAGCAACUAUCAAUGUUGUGUCUAAAAUUUUGGUGACAACAUGGAACAUAAUCUCUCGUCCAUGGAAGGAAGUAAAAACUGCUUCAUUUCCUGUCUGGCCAUGAGAGACAUCCAGACCUCCCCUGAACCUAAGAGAUGGAAAAUGUUUAUGUUCGUUUGGCAGCUCUCCAGACCAAAUCCCCCCUGUGAGAGAGUAGGACUGGUCUCCACAUGUCUAUCCAGGGGAGGGUCGAUCCAAUAACCUCCAGAUUUAGGGGGCACGAUGAGAGGUAAAAGUAAAACCCCUACCUUGAGAGGUGGUGGGAACUCACAACGUUGUUCAUCCAAUCUGCUACCCUGCAGACAAACACAACCAUAGUGAAAUCAUCAUCAUUGCAACUACACUGUAUUUACACAACACUCUGAAAACAAAUGUGGAGAGAAAAGAUCAUGACGUUACCUGUAGCUUUUCAAUGAUUGCAAACAACUCAGUGACCUGCAGAGAAAUGACGAGGAAAUGACAGAAGCAGUGAAUGUUUCAGAUAAUGCACCCUGCAAGGUGUAAUCAGAAUAUUAUCAAAAUACUGUAAAAUGUCAUUUGUCCAGUUUCCAUGAUGCAAUUACUAUCUCCAUAGUUUCAUUUUCAACAUAUUCAGAACGUCUAAAACGGGAGAUUUCUUACCUUCUGACUGGACGGUGCAGAAGUGAGUGGCUUAGCCUCACUGGAGGGGGAAUCCAAAAUAUCCAGUAUGCUGUGACUCACAGAUUCUGCACAACUGUAACACACAGAGAAAAGUGUCAUGGAAAAGUCUGCGUGCGAUAACUGAGUUCAAACACCUGAGAACAGCAACAAACCCAAACUGUAAACUGACCUGCUCUCAUUUCCAGUGAUGAACUUGUCAAUCCUGUGAACAGAAUAAAGAUGGAACUAAUUCAGUCAACAUUGUAUUCAAA